AAGUCGUAACAAGGUUUCCGUAGGUGAACCUGCGGAAGGAUCAUCAACAAUAGACCGAAUAUAAAUGGUCUGAUCUAUAUUAUUAUUAUUACUUUUGACUGGGGGAGGAUAGAUUGAUUAUUCUCUCUGAUGGUCUAGAACAACACCCGGAUUUUAUUGUAUAGGCUUAUUAUUAUAUGCCAUUGAACAGGAUAACAGACCAGUUUUAGGUGUAAUGCCUCUGGUAUAAAAAUCAUUAAAACUUUCGGCAAUGGAUCUCUCGGCUCUCC
RNAcentral lists this unclassified non-coding RNA (269 nucleotides) under fungal sp. Its description in RNAcentral is "partial internal transcribed spacer region". The stretch from base 1 to 46 matches the Rfam family "Eukaryotic small subunit ribosomal RNA", at positions 1786 to 1831 of the family's 1831-position model. Lineage: Eukaryota; Fungi. The record is from RNAcentral.